AUUGAACGCUGGCGGCAGGCCUAACACAUGCAAGUCGAACGGUAACAGGAAACAGCUUGCUGUUUCGCUGACGAGUGGCGGACGGGUGAGUAAUGUCUGGGAAACUGCCUGAUGGAGGGGGAUAACUACUGGAAACGGUAGCUAAUACCGCAUAACGUCGCAAGAACAAAGAGGGGGACCCUCGGGCCUCUUGCCAUCGGAUGUGCCCAGAUGGGAUUAGCUUGUUGGUGGGGUAACGGCUCACCAAGGCGACGAUCCCUAGCUGGUCUGAGAGGAUGACCAGCCACACUGGAACUGAGACACGGUCCAGACUCCUACGGGAGGCAGCAGUGGGGAAUAUUGCACAAUGGGCGCAAGCCUGAUGCAGCCAUGCCGCGUGUAUGAAGAAGGCCUUCGGGUUGUAAAGUACUUUCAGCGGGGAGGAAGGGAGUAAAGUUAAUACCUUUGCUCAUUGACGUUACCCGCAGAAGAAGCACCGGCUAACUCCGUG
RNAcentral lists this ribosomal RNA (490 nucleotides) under uncultured bacterium. RNAcentral describes it as "partial 16S ribosomal RNA". It matches the Rfam family "Bacterial small subunit ribosomal RNA", at positions 30 to 507 of the family's 1533-position model. The record is from RNAcentral.